This 229-nucleotide small RNA is filed under the name Bacillus sp. MUM 13. Its description in RNAcentral is "BsrG". It matches the Rfam family "BsrG". Rfam says of the family: bsrE, bsrG and bsrH pair through intermolecular interactions with antisense sRNAs. The record is from Rfam by way of RNAcentral. Lineage: Bacteria; Bacillati; Bacillota; Bacilli; Caryophanales; Bacillaceae.
ACGAUAGACUGCUAGGAUCGGGACUCCCCGAAAAAGGGGGUGAUGCCUUUGACAAUCUUUGAAACUUUUAUGGCUAUGUUUUCGUUUGCAACUCUCAUAAUUGCAAUUUUGUCUUUUCACAAUAAAAAAUAGGCCAUCCUAAAAUGCACAAGGAGAGGCCUGUUUGCUGAUAGAAGCCCGGUCCGACAGGAAAGUCUAUCGCGGGACCGCAAAUGCUGGCACAUUUGCG